Oryctolagus cuniculus (rabbit) is the source of this 2331-nucleotide non-coding RNA. Lineage: Eukaryota; Metazoa; Chordata; Mammalia; Lagomorpha; Leporidae. The record is from RefSeq and is a predicted model, not a curated record.
CCAUAGCAACGCUAACCAAACCGCCGCGAGGCAGGAGGCCUGCGGACUGGGAAUGUUGUCCUCGCAGCCCCGACUCUCGGGGUUUGGAACAUGACUCGAAACUGAGUUUUAAACAUGCAGCUACUAGAAAGUUGCAGACCACAGGCAGGGCUCGCACCCUGUUCCACCCCACAGGGCCGCUGCGGACGGUGAGGGACGGUGUCGGGCAGCCCUCAACCCAGCGCUGGAAUCGGUGUUCACAGAAGGCUUGGAAACAAGGCUGGUCGCUCCCGCGCAUUCUAAACAGGAACAGAACAGACUGAGAAAGAAGGCACCGGUGGGGAAUUUCUCUCAGUUGUUGCUAAUCUAUGACCUUUAAAACAGCCCACACCAAAACCCCAGUUUUCAGCGUUGGGUGGAAAGACUGAUUUGGGGAGAUGAUUGAACCCACAUUCCCGCGCGUGGCGAGCGCCGUGAGAAACAGGCGAUCCUGCCGGCUCAUAAGAAUGCAGCACCACGGCUUCCCAGAGCACGGGUUCCCCUCGGUGCCUCGCUGCCCCCGUGGCGGACGCCCGCCUCUUCCAGGUCAAAGAGCUCAGGUGAUCAGCAGCCCACGACACUGACAACAUCAUCUUGUUUCUGAAGACCACGUCGGGUGCCUGGAGCAACUUCGGAGCAGAAAGUGUUUAUUAUCUUCUCGCCCAAGGCCUUCACGUGGCUACACUGUGGAUUUCUAAACAUGAUGACCGAUGAUGAGACAGCACACUUGUCACGAAGUCCUUGUGCCUCCUCAUCAGCAGGACACGCAGGGACAGAUCAAAGGAACCGGCUUCCUUUCCUUGCCUAAAGAGUUCCUUUGGAAUGCAUUAUGGAAAAUCGUGACCCUUGCCCUGUUAGCAAGGUUUGCUGGGAACAGCGCGAUGGUGAUUAAUAUAAUUGGACAAGAUGGACUUCCUGCGUGGGGUCCAGCCUAGAAUGCUGUAAUCUCGUUAUUCUUUGCAUCCAUCUAUGGGCUCAGAGCUGGUGCGCACGUACAAAGGGGACGCCUGUCUCUUGGCAGCCACUGAGGAGCGGAAUCCGACCGUCUCCACGGCCUCCGAGGCUGGCGUUGGUGGGCACCGCUGGCCAGACAGCCUGCCCUUCACCAAUGCCCCAGCCCCGGUGCCGCUGGGAAAUUGCACGGCUCGCGGAUGUUAAUGCCAGUCUAAUUACAUAUUUGGGCUUCCGUUCUGGCAAUGGGCUGUACUUAAGCAAAAUUUAGUGCCGUCUUAUGUGUUCCUACAGCUGGGUAAUUACAAGGCACUGAAGUUCUCGGAGCAGGAAAUUAAUGAUACGAAAAUCAGCGGCUCUUUAAAGGGUGGUUAUUCUCUGCGCUGCCAGGGACCCGUGACUGGAAGGCACAGGAGCUCAGGGCAGACCCAGUCCAGAGCGCGGAGGGAGGCAGGGGCAGCUGGGCUUGGCCCUGCGUAGAGGUUGCCAAAGCCGCUACAAGACUUCAUCUUGGGGCCAGUGCUGUGGCAUAAUGGGUAAAGCCACCACCUGCAGCGCCGGCAUCCCAUGUGGGCGCUGGUUCCAGUCCUGGCUGCUCCACUUCUGAUCCAGCUCUCUGCUGUGGCCUGGGAAAGCAGUAGAAGAUGGCCCAAGUCCUUGGGCCCUUGCACCUACAUGGGAGACCCGGAAGAAGCUCCUGGCUCCUGGCUUCUGAUCGGCACAGCUCCAGCUGUUGCAGCCCUCUGGGGAGUGAACCAGUGAUCUCACACACGGGAUCCCGGGCAGCUCCCAAAGCCUCGGGUAGGAAACUUCCCUAGGUGGUUCCCUCAGCUCUUCCCACACAAGGUGAACGGGCUUUUCUGAUGUGAUUCUUAUAUCAACAGUGUUACAGAUAUCGAAUUCCAUACAGGUACUGUAUUAGCCAGAGACGGUUGGCUAAGGCUCACUACAGAAAAAAAUGUAAAAACAUGAACUGUGCUCUACUUUGCUCUUUUAUUCCAGGUCAUCAACAGGGAAUGGCUGUUCUACCUUAGUGAAUGAGGUCUGUCUGUGUCGAAAAUGCAUUAUGGGGGUCGACACUGUGGCUUAGCAGGUAAAGCAGUCACCUGCAGUGCCGGCAUCCCAUGUGGGUGCCAGUUCAAGUCCCGGCUGCUCCACUUUCCAAUCUGGCUCUCUGCUGUGUGGCCUGGGAAAGCAGUAGAAGAUGACCCAAGUCCUUGGGCCCCUGCACCCACAUGGGAGACCUGGAUGAAGCUCCUGGCUCCUGCCUUCAGAUCAGCACAGCUCUGGCCAUGUGGCCAAUUGGGGAGUGAACCACUGGAUGGAAGAUUCUCUCUCUCUCUUUCUCUGUCUCUCUCUCUC